GCCGAAAUGCCUCAGUCGGGAGAGCCUUAGUCUGAAGAUCUAAAGGUCCCUGGUUCAAUCCCGGGUUUCGCCA
Sus scrofa (pig) is the source of this 73-nucleotide non-coding RNA. NCBI's taxonomy places the organism in Eukaryota, Metazoa, Chordata, Mammalia, Artiodactyla, Suidae. The record is from Rfam.